AGCGAACGCUGGCGGCAGGCUUAACACAUGCAAGUCGAGCGGGCACUUUCGGGUGUCAGCGGCGGACGGGUGAGUAACGCGUGGGAACGUGCCCUCUGGUUCGGAAUAACUCAGGGAAACUUGAGCUAAUACCGGAUACGCCCUUUUGGGGAAAGGCUUGCUGCCGGAGGAUCGGCCCGCGUCUGAUUAGCUAGUUGGUGAGGUAACGGCUCACCAAGGCGACGAUCAGUAGCUGGUCUGGGAGGAUGAUCAGCCACACUGGGACUGAGACACGGCCCAGACUCCUACGGGAGGCAGCAGUGGGGAAUAUUGGACAAUGGGCGCAAGCCUGAUCCAGCCAUGCCGCGUGAGUGAUGAAGGCCUUAGGGUUGUAAAGCUCUUUUAUCCGGGACGAUAAUGACGGUACCGGAGGAAUAAGCCCCGGCUAACUUCGUG
RNAcentral lists this ribosomal RNA (435 nucleotides) under uncultured bacterium. RNAcentral describes it as "partial 16S ribosomal RNA". It matches the Rfam family "Bacterial small subunit ribosomal RNA", at positions 29 to 507 of the family's 1533-position model. The record is from RNAcentral.